Molecule: long non-coding RNA, 1759 nt
Filed under: Equus caballus (horse)
Lineage: Eukaryota; Metazoa; Chordata; Mammalia; Perissodactyla; Equidae
Description: lncRNA (ENSECAG00000045980.1)
Source: RNAcentral
GGGCUAGUCAACCACAAAUUUUUCCCACUGAGACCAGUGGCAGAUUCAGAAUCUACAACACAUUUCUGUAACUGUAAUACUAGUAAGUGGGUGUUAGCACGAGCCAAACAUAAAUUUGCCAUCGCUAGGUAUGGAGGACCUCCCUCAGGGCUUGUAGGCAGCUGGCAUCACAUUCAAACCCAAGGCAGGCUUUGGUAUCAGGAGCUGUGGCCUACAGAGAAGGAGAGGUGAGUGCGGUAAGUAAAUGGUGGUAUGCGGCCUCGCGAGAACCCAAAGCCAGGCUUAGCCAUGACUCAGCUCUUUAAGCAAGUCUCCAGUGCCAGCCAAGUGCCAGUGAAUAAACGAAGAUAUAAAUCAAAAUCAACAUUAACCUAAUUUCCCCUCCACCCCCGCAGUUUGUAUAGGAUUAUGUAAUACAGACUUUGAGGAAGAAAAAUAGGAACCCAAAUCACCUGUUGUGUGUUGGUGUGGGCCUUCUUUGCUAUGAUAUUUCUUGGUUUAAAAGAACUCAGAGGGCAGAAGGCUCCUGUGGAACUUCCAUCUUCAGUGUUGCUGGAUUCUCUUCUUCCUCCAAUUUGGUUCUAAAGGAGGAAACUUUCCCUUCUCUGCGUCCCUCCCAAUCGUUUAGAAAGAAGCUCUCCUCCUUUUCCUUUGCCCACCUCUGCCCUGGCUCUGCCCACAGUUUCCCUGGCUCUAGUGUCUACUGCGAAGGCCCCUCAGGGCAACAGGUCUGUGCGGACCAUGGCUUGGGUGGGCUCCUGGUACACGCCCAGGUCCCACCCCCUGACUCACAAGCCUGAAUGGCUGCAACAGGGGAGUAGGUUAAAAAGAGCCAAUUCAAGGUCUCCCUUCUCCCACUCUGCUAAGUGCUUUAAAUCUAGGAUCUUACUCAUCACCAUAAUAAUUCUGUGAGGAUUCUUGCCUGGAUUCCCUCACGUCUUGGCCUGAUUUGCUCCUGCAGUCUUUCAGAAGGCACUGAUUGAAAGGAAUAAAUCUGUAAUAGUGGAGUUUCUGGCAGUGGAGCAGCUAUUUGGGGCCACACAACCCUUUUAAAUCUACCUAAUGAGAACGUCUGUUCCUAGAAGGUGCAUGGACUCAGGCUUUCUCAGCUAGGACGGUAUAUGCUGGAGAGUUCUGCAGGAGGAAUUAGGGAGCUCCAGCUGUAUCCCAGUCCUGUAGCUAACUCACAGGCAGGAAAGGCUCGGAGUAACUCCGAUUUCAAUGUCCUUAAUAAUCUGAGGGUAUUAAAGUUAGGGGAAGCUUUCAAGGGUUUCUAAUCCAACAUGGUAAAAAUCCUUAAUGUCAUCUGAAGUUUGUUAAUUCAUUCAUUUGCAAAUACUUAUUGAAUGCUUACUGUGUGUCUCUAUUUCCACUGAUCUGAUUCAUGAGGAAACAGACGCACCUCUGCUGUCAUUGCCUUGGCAAUCCUUCUCACUCUUCAAAUGAACUGGAUUUUUUAGUGAUUGAAUGAAAAACUGAACCCAGGCAAGUGAAACAGCUUCAACAUCCAUGUUAGUUUAGAAAUAGGCGUAAAACCAACUCACUUCCAACCGAAGUCCUCUGGAACAGCAGAGAAACCAUAGCAUGUUUCCUUGGGCUUUCUGGACUUGAAAAUCAUAAGAAAUCUGUCUUCUACCCAAAGUUUAGACCUUAAUUGACAUUUUUUUCCACCCAAAAAUGUCAGUUGUUAGAAGUAGAAGGGAACUUCCUCAGUGUGAUAGAAAAUAUCUAUGAAAAACCAUAGCUAAUAUAUUUAAUG